This 429-nucleotide ribosomal RNA is filed under the name Acidobacteriota bacterium. Its description in RNAcentral is "Acidobacteria bacterium partial 16S ribosomal RNA". It matches the Rfam family "Bacterial small subunit ribosomal RNA", at positions 355 to 776 of the family's 1533-position model. Lineage: Bacteria; Pseudomonadati; Acidobacteriota. The record is from RNAcentral.
UGGGGAAUUUUGGACAAUGGGGGAAACCCUGAUCCAGCCAUCCCGCGUGUGCGAUGAAGGCCUUCGGGUUGUAAAGCACUUUUGGCAGGAAAGAAACGUCAUGGGUUAAUACCCCGUGAAACUGACGGUACCUGCAGAAUAAGCACCGGCUAACCACGUGCCAGCAGCCGCGGUAAUACGUAGGGUGCAAGCGUUAAUCGGAAUUACUGGGCGUAAAGCGUGCGCAGGCGGUUCGGAAAGAAAGAUGUGAAAUCCCAGAGCUCAACUUUGGAACUGCAUUUUUAACUACCGGGCUAGAGUGUGUCAGAGGGAGGUGGAAUUCCGCGUGUAGCAGUGAAAUGCGUAGAUAUGCGGAGGAACACCGAUGGCGAAGGCAGCCUCCUGGGAUAACACUGACGCUCAUGCACGAAAGCGUGGGGAGCAAACAGG